CGGUACUUGUCUAUCCCAAAUUCAUGUAUUUGGUUUUGAUGUUAUAUUUGUUAUUCUCUUGGGAUUUUGUCUGAUGCUUGGUCCGUUUCUGUGUCAGUUAUUUACUUUGUAGUGUUGUGUCGUUGUUCUCCUCUUAUAUUUAUGCGUUUCCCUCAGUUUUAGUUUGUUACCCCGAUUUUGUUUUUUGUCCAUGGAUUUAUG
Molecule: long non-coding RNA, 201 nt
Filed under: Mytilus galloprovincialis (Mediterranean mussel)
Lineage: Eukaryota; Metazoa; Mollusca; Bivalvia; Mytilida; Mytilidae
Source: RNAcentral